AUUGAACGCUGGCGGCAUGCCUAACACAUGCAAGUCGAACGCAAAAGUUCCUUCGGGAAUGAGUAAAGUGGCGGACGGGUGAGUAACGCGUAGGAAUCUACCUUACAGUGGGGGAUAACCCGGGGAAACUCGGGCUAAUACCGCAUACUGUCUAAGGAGCAAAGCGGGGGAUCUUCGGACCUCGUGCUGUAAGAUGAGCCUGCGUCGGAUUAGCUAGUUGGUAGGGUAAAGGCCUACCAAGGCGAUGAUCCGUAGCUGGUCUGAGAGGAUGAUCAGCCACACUGGGACUGAGACACGGCCCAGACUCCUACGGGAGGCAGCAGUGGGGAAUAUUGGACAAUGGGCGAAAGCCUGAUCCAGCAAUGCCGCGUGUGUGAAGAAGGCCUUCGGGUUGUAAAGCACUUUCAGCGGGGAGGAAGGCUCAAGGUUAAUAUCCUUGGGAGGUGACGUUACCCGCAGAAGAAGCACUGGCUAACUCUGUGCCAGCCGCCGCCGUAA
RNAcentral lists this ribosomal RNA (498 nucleotides) under uncultured bacterium. Its description in RNAcentral is "partial 16S ribosomal RNA". It matches the Rfam family "Bacterial small subunit ribosomal RNA", at positions 30 to 523 of the family's 1533-position model. The record is from RNAcentral.